UAAAAAGAAAUGUGCUAGCUGGUAUCCCACCAAAAGAGACUGGUGCACAAAGCCUACCUCUGAGAGGUGACUGGCAAGACACAUCAUGGCACACAUGCCCACUGCCACUCCAAAGCAAGCUCAAGAGUAGAGGGCAAGACUCACAUCUGCUAUUGGGGUAUGGAAGCAGAAGGGAUUGGGCAAGACUCACAUCUGCUAUUGGGGUAUGGAAGCAGAAGGGAUUAGACAAAAUGUUGUCAGAGUACCUAGGAAGCCUGUUUGACCUGACAAAACAUGCAUUGUCAAAUAUAUGACAGGCACGGAUGAUUCAGGAG
Cuculus canorus (common cuckoo) is the source of this 314-nucleotide long non-coding RNA. RefSeq lists it as uncharacterized. The transcript is spliced from 3 exons. Lineage: Eukaryota; Metazoa; Chordata; Aves; Cuculiformes; Cuculidae. The record is from RefSeq and is a predicted model, not a curated record.